CGAGUUCCACUGAGGCAAUGUCUGUAAAAUAACAGUGGGACCGAAAAGGCCUUACUAGAAGCUGGCAAUGAUACCGUAACAUUUGGUGUUGCAAUACCAUAGGCAGGUAAUAGCCCCUGUGUUCAGAGUUCGUGAAUAAAACAACUUCCGUGAUGUGAAAUGCAGCUGGAGAGCUGGAAGGAAGCCGAGGGACCUGCCAGUUUCUCAGGGUAGGACAGAAUAAGAGCUUCAAAACGUGACAAGAACUCCUUACAGAAAGAAAGCCAAAAAACCAGCUAACUGAACAACUAAACGACGAAGGUGGAAAGCCCAACACACUGCAGAGGUCAGAAACGAGAACAAGGUAGCACUCGUCACACACCUAGAGCAUCUGGGCUCCAGCCGUCAGCAGCAGGGGGCCCGCCGUGGGCUAUCAGGAGCCGACGGUUUGGGACUCCAUCUGGGUUUGAGUCCUUACUGCCUUCUAGCUGGAAAAGGAAACUGAGGACCAGAGAGGUGAAGUAACUGCUCGUGCUCACACAGCUCCUCAGUGACAGCUGGAAUCUGAACCAGGUCUGUCCAACCCUGACGCUCUGCUGUGGAGGAAGUGCUCCCAGCUCACUCUCCUUGGCACCCCUCCUGCCCACCCGGUGUCCCUGGGGGACCCCCUGGUAUUACUGCUCAGCUUGAUGGGGCUUUUCAUGCUGGAGGCCCUGAGACACAAGGACAGCAAGCAGGGAGCUGCUGAAGGAGUUUCCCAUGGUUCCUAUCAGAACAUUUGGAAAUGGAAACCUAGCAAUUACAGAGAAAAUUAUUAACUUUCAGGGAGCCUUGUUUGGGUCAUAGCCCUUUCCUUUGGGCGUAAGUUGUUGGUGUGAAACUGAACUGAAAACUUGCAUCUCCAGCUGCCCCAGCUGAGCCCUUAGACCUUUGUUGUGGCUUUUAUUCUCUUGGGCAAGAGGAGGGAGGAAUUCGGGGUAUGUGGCCCCAUGACUGAGAAGGAGGAGCAGGAAUGGUACUUACAUUUGUCAAACUUUUCCUAUGUGUUUUCCAUAUUUUGUCUCGUUUAAUCCUCAGAACAAUCUCAUGAGCAAGGAAAGAAUGGCAUUUGGAACGUGGCAGACGUGGCUUCUCAUUCCUAGUUCACCACUCGCCACUGUGCUAAGUGACUUUGCCUCCAAAUUUUCUCCUGUGCAGCAUGGGGUUACUGCUGCCUCCAUCCGAGGUGCUCUGAAGGGGUCGGUGCAGGGACCCCUGGGGGCUUGCACGUUCAUCAAAUGAUAAAGACAUGUGGAAAAAAUUGAAAAUAUCAUGUGAAAUACGCACACACACAGACAUAAGUGUGUCAUGACCACAGCUGGAUAUAACUGUGUCCACCUACAGAUGGGAGCGAUCUUGCCAAGGCCACAGGGACAUGCUGACUAUUUAUCUAUUUCUCUCAUUUAUAUACUCCUUCAAGUGUAUGGCUCGAGACAACAGACUUAGGAUACUUUGUACUUUCUGCCUU
Molecule: long non-coding RNA, 1486 nt
Filed under: Equus caballus (horse)
Lineage: Eukaryota; Metazoa; Chordata; Mammalia; Perissodactyla; Equidae
Description: lncRNA (ENSECAG00000051408.1)
Source: RNAcentral